AUGGUAGCUCCCGCAUUUACCAUUUUCAUUAACCACACCCACGUUGCUUGGGCAGAGCUUUGGUCGGGGGGAUCCAUGGACUCUUCUUCCGAUGCGCCGCUGCUGGCCGCGAGGUGGGAAGAGCCCGGCAGUACCAGCCGGCGCUGGUGUAGGGAAGCCGCGCAGCUGGCGGGGCUUGCGGCGCCGAUGGUGGUGGUGAUGCUGCUGCAGGUCACGAUGCAGUUCAUCUCCACCGUCAUGGUGGGGCACCUCGGCGACGUCGCGCUCGCCGGUGCGGCCAUCGCCAACUCCCUCACCAACGUCUCCGGCUUCAGCGUCCUUAUUGGACUGGCAGGCGGAUUGGAAACUCUUUGUGGGCAGGCCUAUGGAGCAGAACAAUAUCAUACAUUAUCUUUAUGUACCUACAGGUCCAUCAUUGCACUUCUUGUUGUGAGUGUGCCCAUCUCCAUUGUUUGGUGUUUCAUCCCGGAAGUACUUCCUCUCAUGGGCCAGGAACCACAAAUUGCAAAUGAGGCUGGCAAAUAUGCAUUAUGGCUUAUCCCUGGUUUAUUUGCCUUCGGUGUUACUCAAUGCUUUUCAAAGUUUCUGCAAUGUCAAAGCCUAAUAUUUCCAAUGGUUCUUAGCUCCUUGAUUACAAUUGCGGUAUUUCUUCCUCUUUGCUGGUUCAUGGUUUACAAAGUUGGGAUGGGUAAUGCUGGAGCUGCUUUAUCCGUUAGCAUUUGUGAUUGGGUUGAAGUGACUUUUCUUGGCCUUUACAUUAAGUUCUCACCCUCUUGUGAGAAAACACGCGCUCCACCAUCGUGGGAAGCUUUUAGAGGGAUUGGCAGUUUCAUGCGUUUGGCUGUACCAUCGGCUCUUAUGAUUUGUCUGGAGUGGUGGUCUUACGAGCUGCUUGUUCUGCUUUCCGGGAUGUUACCAAAUCCUGCACUGGAAACCUCUGUGCUUUCUAUAUGCGUAUCUACAAUGAUACUGUUGGCCAACCUUCCUUACGGCAUUGGAAUAGCUACCAGUGUGCGCGUCUCAAAUGAAUUAGGCGCCGGCAACACACAAGGUCCCCGCUUGGUGGUGUGUGUUGCCUUGUCUAUUGUGGUCUGCUCAGCAUUCUUAGUGAGCACAACUCUUCUAUUACUGCGCCACUUUAUUGGAAUUGCGUUCAGCAAUGAGGAAGAGGUCAGGCGUUAUGUCACAAGAAUGGUACCCCUACUUUCCAUUUCAGCAAUUACAGACAGCCUCAUGGCAGUCCUUCAAGGUGUGUCUCGGGGCUGUGGAUGGCAGCAUCUAGGGGCUUAUGUUAACCUGGGUGCCUUCUAUCUUGUUGGUAUCCCCGUUGCACUCUACUUUGGUUUUGCAAUGCAACUAAGAGCAAAGGGGUUUUGGAUUGGCAUACUGGCUGGUGGAGCCACACAGGUCACUCUCCUGUCUGUUAUUACGGCUACCACAAACUGGAACAAGAUGGCCGACAAGGCGAAGGAGAGAAUAUUUGAGGACAGGCUUCCAACACAAUAA
RNAcentral lists this ribosomal RNA (1506 nucleotides) under Triticum aestivum (bread wheat). RNAcentral's name for it is "partial small subunit ribosomal RNA". The record is from RNAcentral. Lineage: Eukaryota; Viridiplantae; Streptophyta; Magnoliopsida; Poales; Poaceae.